Molecule: non-coding RNA, 140 nt
Organism: Danio rerio (zebrafish)
Lineage: Eukaryota; Metazoa; Chordata; Actinopteri; Cypriniformes; Danionidae
Source: RefSeq, a predicted model, not a curated record
CAUUUUGCUGUCGUUGUUGCAUUCUGGUCGCGGCACGUAAAGGCCGAGUCAACACUUCACGUGAGGGGUAGCUGAUGAGGAAACAACAUUUAAUGCUGCCAGAUCUUCAUUGCGAACUUAUUUAAAGAGUGCUAUUACGG